This 463-nucleotide ribosomal RNA is filed under the name uncultured bacterium. RNAcentral describes it as "partial 16S ribosomal RNA". It matches the Rfam family "Bacterial small subunit ribosomal RNA", at positions 28 to 507 of the family's 1533-position model. The record is from RNAcentral.
GACGAACGCUGGCGGCGUGCUUAACACAUGCAAGUCGAACGGAAAGGCCUUUUCGGCGGUACUCGAGUGGCGAACGGGUGAGUAACACGUGGGUGAUCUGCCCCGCACUCUGGGAUAAGCCUGGGAAACUGGGUCUAAUACCGGAUAGGACCGCACUUUAGUGUGUGUGGUGGAAAGUUUUUUCGGUGUAGGAUGAGCCCGCGGCCUAUCAGCUUGUUGGUGGGGUAAUGGCCUACCAAGGCGGCGACGGGUAGCCGGACUGAGAGGUUGGUCGGCCACAUUGGGACUGAGAUACGGCCCAGACUCCUACGGGAGGCAGCAGUGGGGAAUAUUGCACAAUGGGCGCAAGCCUGAUGCAGCGACGCCGCGUGGGGGAUGACGGCCUUCGGGUUGUAAACUCCUUUCGCCAGGGACGAAGCGUUUUGUGACGGUACCUGGAGAAGAAGCACCGGCUAACUACGUG